RNAcentral lists this ribosomal RNA (750 nucleotides) under uncultured bacterium. RNAcentral describes it as "bacterial SSU rRNA". It matches the Rfam family "Bacterial small subunit ribosomal RNA", at positions 43 to 783 of the family's 1533-position model. The record is from RNAcentral.
CAGGCCUAACACAUGCAAGUCGAGCGGACUUAUCCUUCGGGAUAGGUUAGCGGCGGACGGGUGAGUAACACGUAGGCAACCUGCCUGUAAGAUCGGGAUAACUACCGGAAACGGUAGCUAAGACCGGAUAGCUGGUUUCUCCGCAUGGGGGAAUCAUGAAACAUGGGGCAACCUGUGGCUUACGGAUGGGCCUGCGGCGCAUUAGCUAGUUGGUGGGGUAAUGGCCCACCAAGGCGACGAUGCGUAGCCGACCUGAGAGGGUGAUCGGCCACACUGGGACUGAGACACGGCCCAGACACCUACGGGAGGCAGCAGUAGGGAAUCUUCCGCAAUGGGCGCAAGCCUGACGGAGCAACGCCGCGUGAGUGAUGAAGGUUUUCGGAUCGUAAAGCUCUGUUGCCAAGGAAGAACGCCUCGGAGAGUAACUGCUCUGAGGGUGACGGUACUUGAGAAGAAAGCCCCGGCUAACUACGUGCCAGCAGCCGCGGUAAUACGUAGGGGGCAAGCGUUGUCCGGAAUUAUUGGGCGUAAAGCGCGCGCAGGCGGUCUUUUAAGUUUGGUGUUUAAGCCCGGGGCUCAACCCCGGUUCGCACUGAAAACUGGGAGACUUGAGUGCAGGAGAGGAAAGCGGAAUUCCACGUGUAGCGGUGAAAUGCGUAGAGAUGUGGAGGAACACCAGUGGCGAAGGCGGCUUUCUGGACUGUAACUGACGCUGAGGCGCGAAAGCGUGGGGAGCAAACAGGAUUAGAU